CCUACGGGUGGCAGCAGUGAGGAAUAUUGGUCAAUGGACGAGAGUCUGAACCAGCCAAGUAGCGUGAAGGAUGACUGCCCUAUGGGUUGUAAACUUCUUUUAUAUGGGAAUAAAAUGUUCCACGUGUGGGAUUUUGUAUGUCCCAUAUGAAUAAGGCUCGGCUAACUCCGUGCCAGCAGCCGCGGUAAUACGGAGGAUCCGGGCGUUAUCCGGGUUUAUUGGGGUUAAAGGGCGCGUAGGUGGAUUGUUAAGUCAGUUGUGAAAGUUUGCGGCUCAACCGUAAAAUUGCAGUUGAAACUGGUAGUCUUGAGUACAGUAGAGGUGGGCGGAAUGCGUGGUGUAGCGGUGAAAUGCUUAGAUAUCACGAAGAACUCCGAUUGCGAAGGCAGCCCACUGGACUGCAACUGACACUGAGGCGCGAAAGUGUGGGUAUCAAACAGGAUUAGAUACCCCAGUAGUC
Molecule: ribosomal RNA, 460 nt
Filed under: uncultured bacterium
Lineage: Bacteria
Description: partial 16S ribosomal RNA
Rfam family: Bacterial small subunit ribosomal RNA
Source: RNAcentral